RNAcentral lists this ribosomal RNA (274 nucleotides) under uncultured bacterium. RNAcentral's name for it is "partial 16S ribosomal RNA". It matches the Rfam family "Bacterial small subunit ribosomal RNA", at positions 523 to 796 of the family's 1533-position model. The record is from RNAcentral.
AUACGGAGGGUGCAAGCGUUACUCGGAAUCACUGGGCGUAAAGCGCGCGCAGGCGGCUAUUUAAGUUGGAUGUGAAAGCCUACUGCUCAACCGUAGAACUGCAUCCAAAACUAUUUAGCUAGAGUGUGGGAGAGGAAGAUGGAAUUAGUUGUGUAGGGGUAAAAUCCGUAGAGAUAACUAGGAAUACCAAAAGCGAAGGCAAUCUUCUGGAACACUACUGACGCUGAGGCGCGAAAGCGUGGGGAGCAAACGGGAUUAGAUACCCUAGUAGUCC